UGGCUCUCGCAUCGAUGAAGAACGCAGCGAAAUGCGAUAAGUAAUGUGAAUUGCAGAAUUCAGUGAAUCAUCGAAUCUUUGAACGCACCUUGCACCUCGUGGCUUACCACGGGGUACGCCCGUUCGAGCGUCACGUUCCAUCGCCUCUGGCGGAACUGGAUGUUGCCGUAGAGGCUCGUCCGAAAUAUAUUAGCGAGGGUUGUGCUUCGACCGGUGUGAUAACGUUGCGCCCUAAGAAGUGUGCCCUGCUCCGAAUCGCGCAGCGUCUGCGCAAUGUUGCUUUUGACCUCGAAUCGGGCGGGACUACCCGCUGA
This 314-nucleotide unclassified non-coding RNA is filed under the name uncultured fungus. RNAcentral describes it as "partial contains 5.8S ribosomal RNA and internal transcribed spacer 2". The stretch from base 1 to 133 matches the Rfam family "5.8S ribosomal RNA", at positions 22 to 154 of the family's 154-position model. Lineage: Eukaryota; Fungi. The record is from RNAcentral.